UGGAUAAUAAGUUAAGUUAAACUGAAUGAUUCAUGUUCAUUUUUUGUAUGUUGAAUAUACUUAUCCUU
This 68-nucleotide transfer RNA is filed under the name Trichobilharzia szidati. RNAcentral describes it as "tRNA-Met". Lineage: Eukaryota; Metazoa; Platyhelminthes; Trematoda; Strigeidida; Schistosomatidae. The record is from RNAcentral.